GACGAACGCUGGCGGCGUGCUUAACACAUGCAAGUCGAACGGAAAGGCCCUGCUUUUGUGGGGUGCUCGAGUGGCGAACGGGUGAGUAUCACGUGAGUAACCUGCCCUUGACUUUGGGAUAACUUCAGGAAACUGGGGCUAAUACCGGAUAGGAGCUCCUGCUGCAUGGUGGGCGUUGGUAAGUUUCGGCGGUUGGGGAUGGACUCGCGGCUUAUCAGCUUGUUUGUGGGGUAGUGGCUUACCAAGGCUUAGACGGGUAGGCGGCCUGAGAGGGUGACCGGCCACAUGAGGACUGAGGUAGGGCGCAGACUCGUACGGGAGGCAGCAGUGGAGAGUAUGACACAAUGGGCGGGCGCCUGAUACAGCGACGCCGCGUUCGGAAUAACGGCCUUCUAGUUGUAAACCGCUUUCGCCUGUGACGAAGCGUGAGUGACGGUAAUGAGUAAAGAAGCACCGGCUAACUACGUG
RNAcentral lists this ribosomal RNA (468 nucleotides) under uncultured bacterium. RNAcentral's name for it is "partial 16S ribosomal RNA". It matches the Rfam family "Bacterial small subunit ribosomal RNA", at positions 28 to 507 of the family's 1533-position model. The record is from RNAcentral.